Molecule: ribosomal RNA, 495 nt
Filed under: uncultured bacterium
Lineage: Bacteria
Description: bacterial SSU rRNA
Rfam family: Bacterial small subunit ribosomal RNA
Source: RNAcentral
AAAUGAAUAGACGGGGACCCGCACAAGUGGUGGAGCAUGUGGUUUAAUUCGAAGAUACGCGAAGAACCUUACCUGGCCUUGACAUUGAUAGAAUCUGCUAGAGAUAGCGGAGUGCCCUUCGGGGAGCUUGAAAACAGGUGCUGCACGGCUGUCGUCAGCUCGUGUCGUGAGAUGUUGGGUUAAGUCCCGCAACGAGCGCAACCCUCGUCACUAGUUACUAACGGUUCGGCCGAGGACUCUAGUGAGACUGCCUUCGUAAGGAGGAGGAAGGUGAGGACGACGUCAAGUCAUCAUGGCCCUUACGGCCAGGGCGACACACGUGCUACAAUGGGAUGUACAAUGAGACGCAAUACCGCGAGGUGGAGCAAAUCUAUAAAACAUCUCUCAGUUCGGAUUGUAGUCUGCAACUCGACUACAUGAAGCUGGAAUCACUAGUAAUCGUAGAUCAGCCAUGCUACGGUGAAUACGUUCCCGGGUCUUGUACACACCGCCCGU